This 489-nucleotide ribosomal RNA is filed under the name Triticum aestivum (bread wheat). RNAcentral describes it as "partial small subunit ribosomal RNA". The record is from RNAcentral. Lineage: Eukaryota; Viridiplantae; Streptophyta; Magnoliopsida; Poales; Poaceae.
AUGAGACCUAUCGUUAGCAGGGUUCCAAACCCACCUAAAUAUGUGGGUGUUCUGAUCCUACCGGGCGCGGAAUGGGAUCACAACGCUAUUGCGGAGAUCUUUUUACCAAUAGAUGUUGAAGCCAUCCUAUCCAUUCCACUUUGUACAAGGCAUGUCGACCAUUUCUGGUCAUGGGUGGACGAGAAGAACGGGACCUUUUCUGUUCGUUCGGCCAACCGCAUGCUUGUGGACACCAAGAUGAGGAGGGAAGCCUGGCUUGAGGGCCGGCCAAACUCGUCAAGCACAGAAAGUGAGCAGAGGGCAUGGUCAAAGCUAUGGAACGUGGAUGUUCCUUCUAAAGCGAAGAUAUUCUUGUGGAGAUUUGCCCAACAAUCAAUCCCCACUGCUGACUUACUUCACGACCGAAGUAUGUCAACCACCACGAACUACGGGCUAUGUCGAGCAGAUGAUUCGUGGCAACACUCCCCGCUUCACUGCAGCAUUGCUUGA